Molecule: ribosomal RNA, 1554 nt
Filed under: Enterobacter ludwigii
Lineage: Bacteria; Pseudomonadati; Pseudomonadota; Gammaproteobacteria; Enterobacterales; Enterobacteriaceae
Description: bacterial SSU rRNA
Rfam family: Bacterial small subunit ribosomal RNA
Source: RNAcentral
ACUUAAAUUGAAGAGUUUGAUCAUGGCUCAGAUUGAACGCUGGCGGCAGGCCUAACACAUGCAAGUCGAACGGUAGCACAGAGAGCUUGCUCUCGGGUGACGAGUGGCGGACGGGUGAGUAAUGUCUGGGAAACUGCCUGAUGGAGGGGGAUAACUACUGGAAACGGUAGCUAAUACCGCAUAACGUCGCAAGACCAAAGAGGGGGACCUUCGGGCCUCUUGCCAUCAGAUGUGCCCAGAUGGGAUUAGCUAGUAGGUGGGGUAACGGCUCACCUAGGCGACGAUCCCUAGCUGGUCUGAGAGGAUGACCAGCCACACUGGAACUGAGACACGGUCCAGACUCCUACGGGAGGCAGCAGUGGGGAAUAUUGCACAAUGGGCGCAAGCCUGAUGCAGCCAUGCCGCGUGUAUGAAGAAGGCCUUCGGGUUGUAAAGUACUUUCAGCGGGGAGGAAGGUGUUGUGGUUAAUAACCACAGCAAUUGACGUUACCCGCAGAAGAAGCACCGGCUAACUCCGUGCCAGCAGCCGCGGUAAUACGGAGGGUGCAAGCGUUAAUCGGAAUUACUGGGCGUAAAGCGCACGCAGGCGGUCUGUCAAGUCGGAUGUGAAAUCCCCGGGCUCAACCUGGGAACUGCAUUCGAAACUGGCAGGCUAGAGUCUUGUAGAGGGGGGUAGAAUUCCAGGUGUAGCGGUGAAAUGCGUAGAGAUCUGGAGGAAUACCGGUGGCGAAGGCGGCCCCCUGGACAAAGACUGACGCUCAGGUGCGAAAGCGUGGGGAGCAAACAGGAUUAGAUACCCUGGUAGUCCACGCCGUAAACGAUGUCGACUUGGAGGUUGUGCCCUUGAGGCGUGGCUUCCGGAGCUAACGCGUUAAGUCGACCGCCUGGGGAGUACGGCCGCAAGGUUAAAACUCAAAUGAAUUGACGGGGGCCCGCACAAGCGGUGGAGCAUGUGGUUUAAUUCGAUGCAACGCGAAGAACCUUACCUACUCUUGACAUCCAGAGAACUUUCCAGAGAUGGAUUGGUGCCUUCGGGAACUCUGAGACAGGUGCUGCAUGGCUGUCGUCAGCUCGUGUUGUGAAAUGUUGGGUUAAGUCCCGCAACGAGCGCAACCCUUAUCCUUUGUUGCCAGCGGUCCGGCCGGGAACUCAAAGGAGACUGCCAGUGAUAAACUGGAGGAAGGUGGGGAUGACGUCAAGUCAUCAUGGCCCUUACGAGUAGGGCUACACACGUGCUACAAUGGCGCAUACAAAGAGAAGCGAACUCGCGAGAGCAAGCGGACCUCAUAAAGUGCGUCGUAGUCCGGAUUGGAGUCUGCAACUCGACUCCAUGAAGUCGGAAUCGCUAGUAAUCGUAGAUCAGAAUGCUACGGUGAAUACGUUCCCGGGCCUUGUACACACCGCCCGUCACACCAUGGGAGUGGGUUGCAAAAGAAGUAGGUAGCUUAACCUUCGGGAGGGCGCUUACCACUUUGUGAUUCAUGACUGGGGUGAAGUCGUAACAAGGUAACCGUAGGGGAACCUGCGGUUGGAUCACCUCCUUACCUUAAAGAA